UGUGACUGCGUACCUUUUGUAUAAUGGGUCAGCGACUUAUAUUCUGUAGCAAGGUUAACCGGAUAGGGGAGCCGCAGGGAAACCGAGUCUUAACCGGGCGUUAAGUUGCAGGGUAUAGACCCGAAACCCGGUGAUCUAGCCAUGGGCAGGUUGAAGGUUGGGUAACACUAACUGGAGGACCGAACCGACUAAUGUUGAAAAAUUAGCGGAUGACCUGUGGCUGGGGGUGAAAGGCCAAUCAAACCGGGAGAUAGCUGGUUCUCCCCGAAAGCUAUUUAGGUAGCGCCUCGUGAACUCAUCUUCGGGGGUAGAGCACUGUUUCGGCUAGGGGGUCAUCCCGACUUACCAACCCGAUGCAAACUGCGAAUACCGGAGAAUGUUAUCACGGGAGACACACGGCGGGUGCUAACGUCCGUCGUGAAGAGGGAAACAACCCAGACCGCCAGCUAAGGUCCCAAAGUCAUGGUUAAGUGGGAAACGAUGUGGGAAGGCCCAGACAGCCAGGAUGUUGGCUUAGAAGCAGCCAUCAUUUAAAGAAAGCGUAAUAGCUCACUGGUCGAGUCGGCCUGCGCGGAAGAUGUAACGGGGCUAAACCAUGCACCGAAGCUGCGGCAGCGACGCUUAUGCGUUGUUGGGUAGGGGAGCGUUCUGUAAGCCGUUGAAGGUGGCCUGUGAGGGUUGCUGGAGGUAUCAGAAGUGCGAAUGCUGACAUAAGUAACGAUAAAGCGGGUGAAAAGCCCGCUCGCCGGAAGACCAAGGGUUCCUGUCCAACGUUAAUCGGGGCAGGGUGAGUCGACCCCUAAGGCGAGGCCGAAAGGCGUAGUCGAUGGGAAACAGGUUAAUAUUCCUGUACUCGGUGUUACUGCGAAGGGGGGACGGAGAAGGCUAUGUUGGCCGGGCGACGGUUGUCCCGGUUUAAGCAUGUAGGCGGGUGUUCCAGGUAAAUCCGGAACGCUGUUAACGCUGAGGUGUGAUGACGAGGCACUACGGUGCUGAAGCAACAAAUGCCCUGCUUCCAGGAAAAGCCUCUAAGCAUCAGGUAACAUCAAAUCGUACCCCAAACCGACACAGGUGGUCAGGUAGAGAAUACCAAGGCGCUUGAGAGAACUCGGGUGAAGGAACUAGGCAAAAUGGUGCCGUAACUUCGGGAGAAGGCACGCUGAUGGUAGGUGAAGUGAUUUACUCAUGGAGCUGAAAUCAGUCGAAGAUACCAGCUGGCUGCAACUGUUUAUUAAAAACACAGCACUGUGCAAACACGAAAGUGGACGUAUACGGUGUGACGCCUGCCCGGUGCCGGAAGGUUAAUUGAUGGGGUUAUCCUCGCGGAGAAGCUC
Molecule: ribosomal RNA, 1334 nt
Filed under: Salmonella enterica
Lineage: Bacteria; Pseudomonadati; Pseudomonadota; Gammaproteobacteria; Enterobacterales; Enterobacteriaceae
Description: partial 23S ribosomal RNA
Rfam family: Bacterial large subunit ribosomal RNA
Source: RNAcentral